This 253-nucleotide ribosomal RNA is filed under the name uncultured bacterium. Its description in RNAcentral is "partial 16S ribosomal RNA". It matches the Rfam family "Bacterial small subunit ribosomal RNA", at positions 524 to 776 of the family's 1533-position model. The record is from RNAcentral.
UACGGAGGGGGCUAGCGUUGUUCGGAAUUACUGGGCGUAAAGCGCGCGUAGGCGGCUUGAUCAGUUGGGCGUGAAAGGCCUGGGCUCAACCCGGGAACUGCGCUCAAUACGGUCAGGCUUGAGUUCGGAAGAGGGUAGUGGAACUCCCAGUGUAGAGGUGAAAUUCGUAGAUAUUGGGAAGAACACCAGUGGCGAAGGCGGCUACCUGGUCCGAAACUGACGCUGAUGCGCGAAAGCGUGGGGAGCAAACAGG